This 252-nucleotide ribosomal RNA is filed under the name uncultured bacterium. RNAcentral describes it as "partial 16S ribosomal RNA". It matches the Rfam family "Bacterial small subunit ribosomal RNA", at positions 524 to 776 of the family's 1533-position model. The record is from RNAcentral.
UACGUAGGGGGCGAGCGUUAUCCGGAAUUAUUGGGCGUAAAGAGUGCGUAGGUGGUCUUGUAAGCGUGGGGUGAAAGGCAGUGGCUUAACCAUUGUUAGCCUUGCGAACUGUGAGACUUGAGUGCAGGAGAGGAAAGUGGAAUUCCUAGUGUAGCGGUGAAAUGCGUAGAUAUUAGGAGGAACAUCAGUGGCGAAGGCGACUUUCUGGACUGUAACUGACACUGAGGCACGAAAGCGUGGGGAGCAAACAGG